UAGGGAAUCUUCCGCAAUGGGCGAAAGCCUGACGGAGCAACGCCGCGUGAGUGAUGAAGGUCUUCGGAUCGUAAAACUCUGUUAUUAGGGAAGAACAAAUGUGUAAGUAACUAUGCACGUCUUGACGGUACCUAAUCAGAAAGCCACGGCUAACUACGUGCCAGCAGCCGCGGUAAUACGUAGGUGGCAAGCGUUAUCCGGAAUUAUUGGGCGUAAAGCGCGCGUAGGCGGUUUUUUAAGUCUGAUGUGAAAGCCCACGGCUCAACCGUGGAGGUUCAUUAGAAACUGGAGAACUUGAGUGCAGAAGAGGAAAGUAGAAUUCCAUGUGUAGCGGUGAAAUGCGCAGAGAUAUGGAGGAGCACCAGUGGCGAAGGCGACUGUCUGAUCUGAAUCAGACGAUGAUGUGCAAAAGCGAGGGGAUCAAACAGG
RNAcentral lists this ribosomal RNA (429 nucleotides) under Actinomycetes bacterium. RNAcentral's name for it is "Actinobacteria bacterium partial 16S ribosomal RNA". It matches the Rfam family "Bacterial small subunit ribosomal RNA", at positions 355 to 776 of the family's 1533-position model. Lineage: Bacteria; Bacillati; Actinomycetota; Actinomycetes. The record is from RNAcentral.